ACGGAGGAUCCAAGCGUUAUCCGGAAUCAUUGGGUUUAAAGGGUCCGUAGGCGGCUUAAUAAGUCAGUGGUGAAAGCCCUACGCUUAACGUAGGAACGGCCAUUGAUACUGUUAGGCUUGAAUUAUUAGGAAGUAACUAGAAUAUGUAGUGUAGCGGUGAAAUGCUUAGAGAUUACAUGGAAUACCAAUUGCGAAGGCAGGUUACUACUAAUGGAUUGACGCUGAUGGACGAAAGCGUGGGUAGCGAACAGGAUUAGAUACCCUGGUAGUCCACGCCGUAAACGAUGGAUACUAGCUGUUGGGAGCAAUCUCAGUGGCUAAGCGAAAGUGAUAAGUAUCCCACCUGGGGAGUACGAACGCAAGUUUG
Molecule: ribosomal RNA, 367 nt
Filed under: uncultured bacterium
Lineage: Bacteria
Description: bacterial SSU rRNA
Rfam family: Bacterial small subunit ribosomal RNA
Source: RNAcentral